Molecule: transfer RNA, 89 nt
Filed under: Caudoviricetes sp.
Lineage: Duplodnaviria; Heunggongvirae; Uroviricota; Caudoviricetes
Description: tRNA-Ile
Rfam family: tRNA
About the family: Transfer RNA (tRNA) molecules are approximately 80 nucleotides in length.
Source: RNAcentral
CAGCCUGUAGCUCAGUGGUUUCAGAGCCGAAGUCUUAUAAACUUCAAGCCCUCACAAGGUAUACGCAGUUUCGAUUACUGCCAGGCUGA